CCUACGGGGGGCAGCAGUGGGGAAUUUUGGACAAUGGGCGCAAGCCUGAUCCAGCAAUGCCGCGUGAGUGAAGAAGGCCUUCGGGUUGUAAAGCUCUUUCAGUUGAGAAGAAAAGAUUGUGACUAAUAAUUGCAAUUCAUGACGGUAUCAACAGAAGAAGCACCGGCUAACUACGUGCCAGCAGCCGCGGUAAUACGUAGGGUGCGAGCGUUAAUCGGAAUUACUGGGCGUAAAGGGUGCGCAGGCGGUUCUGUAAGUCAGAUGUGAAAUCCCCGGGCUUAACCUGGGAACUGCGUUUGAAACUACAGAGCUAGAGUGUGGCAGAGGGGGGUGGAAUUCCAUGUGUAGCAGUGAAAUGCGUAGAGAUAUGGAAGAACAUCGAUGGCGAAGGCAGCCCCCUGGGUCAACACUGACGCUCAUGCACGAAAGCGUGGGGAGCAAACAGGAUUAGAUACCCCAGUAGUC
RNAcentral lists this ribosomal RNA (465 nucleotides) under uncultured Nitrosomonas sp. RNAcentral's name for it is "bacterial SSU rRNA". It matches the Rfam family "Bacterial small subunit ribosomal RNA", at positions 338 to 795 of the family's 1533-position model. Lineage: Bacteria; Pseudomonadati; Pseudomonadota; Betaproteobacteria; Nitrosomonadales; Nitrosomonadaceae. The record is from RNAcentral.